UUCGGGGUACUCGAGCGGCGAACGGGUGAGUAACACGUGAGUAACCUGCCCCCGACUCUGGGAUAAGCCCGGGAAACUGGGUCUAAUACCGGAUAUGACACCUCCUCGCAUGGGGUGGGUGUGGAAAGUUUUUCGGUUGGGGAUGGACUCGCGGCCUAUCAGCUUGUUGGUGGGGUAAUGGCCUACCAAGGCGACGACGGGUAGCCGGCCUGAGAGGGCGACCGGCCACACUGGGACUGAGACACGGCCCAGACUCCUACGGGAGGCAGCAGUGGGGAAUAUUGCGCAAUGGGCGAAAGCCUGACGCAGCGACGCCGCGUGGGGGAUGACGGCCUUCGGGUUGUAAACCUCUUUCAGCAGGGACGAAGUUGACGUGUACCUGCAGAAGAAGCGCCGGCUAACUACGUGCCAGCAGCCGCGGUAAUACGUAGGGCGCAAGCGUUGUCCGGAAUUAUUGGGCGUAAAGAGCUCGUAGGUGGCUUGUCACGUCGGGUGUGAAAGCUUGGGGCUUAACUCCAGGUCUGCAUUCGAUACGGGCUGGCUAGAGGUAGGUAGGGGAGAACGGAAUUCCUGGUGUAGCGGUGAAAUGCGCAGAUAUCAGGAGGAACACCGGUGGCGAAGGCGGU
RNAcentral lists this ribosomal RNA (626 nucleotides) under Streptosporangium sp. YIM 48822. RNAcentral describes it as "bacterial SSU rRNA". It matches the Rfam family "Bacterial small subunit ribosomal RNA", at positions 81 to 725 of the family's 1533-position model. The record is from RNAcentral. Lineage: Bacteria; Bacillati; Actinomycetota; Actinomycetes; Streptosporangiales; Streptosporangiaceae.